GGGCACCCACAAGAACGCGUGGAGCAUGUGGCUUAAUUUGACUCAACGCGGGAAMUCUUACCGGGUCCGGACACACUGAGGAUUGACAGGCAAUAUUAAUACUUUGCUUCGGCAUUGUAUUAUGUUAAAUAUGCUAGUCCUUUCAUGAUUAUGUGAUAGGUGGUGCAUGGCCGUUCUUAGUUCGUGGAGUGAUCUGUCUGCUUAAUUGCGUUUCACUAAGGGCCUAUAAAUUUACGUAUGUUGUAUCGCACUUUGACCCCUUUCUUUAAUUAGAAAGCGCGUGUCUUAGUUUCGCUUUGCUCAUACAAUUAGGUCCUGAAAGCAACGAACGUGACCGCAACCUCUUGUUGCCUUUAUACCAAACAUGUUUAUUCAUUUUUUAAUGUUCAUUCAUGAAAAAAGGCUUUUUAAACUAGAGGGACCGCUGUUACUUUCUUAAACCAGAGGAAGGUUGCGGCAAUAACAGGUCUGUGAUGCCCUUAGAUGUUCCGGGCUGCACACGUGCUACAAUGAUUAUUGCAGUGAGCAUCUCAUUUUUACACACCGCAUGCGCGAGUCCAUUUAUUCACCUUCGGGUGUUUUAAAUGUGUACCUCUGCGCGCGGUAAAGCCUGCUUCGAAAGUAAGUGGGUAAUCAAUUAGAAGUAAUGAUUUCCUUUUUUAGCACACAUAUAUACGGCGUCUAUGCCCGGGUUACCUUGUUGUAGCUUUUGUGUGUAUAGAUGUUUUUUCCGUAUGUGCGAUUGUCAAUUCAUGGUGGGGACAGACCAUUGUUAAUUGUUGGUCUCGGUCUUAACUAGGAAUGCCUUGUACGGGUCUUUGGUUCAACAAACCACCCGGAAUACGUCCCUGCCCUUUGUACACACCGCCCGUCGCUCUUACCGAUGGACUUCUCUGUGAGUUUGAGGGACUGGGAACGCAGGAAUUUAUUUCUGCACACCUAUGGAAACUUAAACGAACAGUGUGGUCUAAAGGAAAGAGAAGUCGUAACAAGGCAUA
RNAcentral lists this ribosomal RNA (998 nucleotides) under Cibicidoides wuellerstorfi. Its description in RNAcentral is "bacterial SSU rRNA". It matches the Rfam family "Eukaryotic small subunit ribosomal RNA", at positions 1173 to 1823 of the family's 1831-position model. The record is from RNAcentral. Lineage: Eukaryota; Foraminifera; Rotaliida; Anomalinidae.